AGAGUUUGAUCCUGGCUCAGGACGAACGCUGGCGGCGUGCUUAACACAUGCAAGUCGAACGAGGUCCAAGGGUUAGCAAUAACCUGGAAGAUCUAGUGGCGAACGGGUGAGUAACACGUGAGGAACCUACCCCGGACUCAGGGAUAACGGCUGGAAACGGCUGCUAAUACCUGAUGCCGUCGGAGCAUCACAUGGUGCACUGACGAAAGAAUCUCGGUUCGGGAGGGCCUCGCGGCCUAUCAGCUUGUUGGUGGGGUAAUGGCCUACCAAGGCAUCGACGGGUAGCUGGUCUGAGAGGAUGAUCAGCCACACUGGGACUGAGACACGGCCCAGACUCCUACGGGAGGCAGCAGUGGGGAAUCUUGCGCAAUGGGCGAAAGCCUGACGCAGCAACGCCGCGUGCGGGAAGAAGGCCUUAGGGUUGUAAACCGCUUUCAGUAGGAACGAAAAUGACGGUACCUGCAGAAGAAGGUGCGGCCAACUACGUGCCAGCAGCCGCGGUGACACGUAGGCACCAAGCGUUGUCCGGAUUUAUUGGGCGUAAAGAGCUCGUAGGCGGUUUAGUAAGUCGGGUGUGAAAACUCUGGGCUUAACCCAGAGCCGCACUCGAUACUGUAUGACUUGAGUUCGGUAGGGGAGCAGGGAAUUCCUAGUGUAGCGGUGAAAUGCGCAGAUUUAGGAGGAACACCGGUGGCGA
Molecule: ribosomal RNA, 697 nt
Filed under: uncultured Actinomycetes bacterium
Lineage: Bacteria; Bacillati; Actinomycetota; Actinomycetes
Description: bacterial SSU rRNA
Rfam family: Bacterial small subunit ribosomal RNA
Source: RNAcentral